GAUGAACGCUGGCGGCGUGCCUAAUACAUGCAAGUCGAGCGAACGGACGAGAAGCUUGCUUCUCUGAUUUUAGCGGCGGACGGGUGAGUAACACGUGGAUAACCUACCUAUAAGACUGGGAUAACUUCGGGAAACCGGAGCUAAUACCGGAUAAUAUUUUGAACCGCAUGGUUCAAAAGUGAAAGUCGGUCUUGCUGUCACUUAUAGAUGGAUCCGCGCUGCAUUAGCUAGUUGGUAAGGUAACGGCUUACCAAGGCAACGAUGCAUAGCCGACCUGAGAGGGUGAUCGGCCACACUGGGACUGAGACACGGUCCAGACUCCUACGGGAGGCAGCAGUAGGGAAUCUUCCGCAAUGGGCGAAAGCCUGACGGAGCAACGCCGCGUGAGUGAUGAAGGUCUUCGGAUCGUAAAACUCUGUUAUUAGGGAAGAACAUAUGUGUAAGUAACUGUGCACAUCUUGACGGUACCUAAUCAGAAAGCCACGGCUAACUACGUG
This 497-nucleotide ribosomal RNA is filed under the name uncultured bacterium. RNAcentral's name for it is "partial 16S ribosomal RNA". It matches the Rfam family "Bacterial small subunit ribosomal RNA", at positions 28 to 507 of the family's 1533-position model. The record is from RNAcentral.